Molecule: long non-coding RNA, 1512 nt
Organism: Mya arenaria
Lineage: Eukaryota; Metazoa; Mollusca; Bivalvia; Myida; Myidae
Exons: 5
Source: RefSeq, a predicted model, not a curated record
UGCCCGGGUUUUACCGCAUACCGGAAAAGUACAAGCGUUAUCAAAAUAAUGCGUUACCACAUGUCUUGAGAAUUAUUGUAAAAUUGGAAUAAACUACAGUGUGUCAUUCAUAAAAAACUGUUGGAAAUAGUUGUUUGAGUGAUAUUUCAUAUUCCGAGGAUAACUAUAAGUGGAGAAAGUAAAAACUAAGUUGGAUAUAUUGGAUUUAUCUUAACGCAAGAGACAGGGUCUACAUGUAUAUACAUCAGUUUUGUCCAGUGUAAAAGUCGGCGCAAUGAAGAUAUAGAUGCAUGUUUCGCCUGUCUUAAAAAUAAGCCCAUAGCCUUCUGCGCUUGACCAGAGAGAGUCUUCUGACAUUCUACCCACGAUCCUCCUGAGGUCAAAACCACUCCGAGAUUUACUAGAUGCAGUCCCAUCAUGAGAGAUGUUGUUCGAAUAUUUCCCAAAUAAUGGUUCACUGACAGACUCGAUGUAAGUGCAGAGUUGGUUGACACACAUGUCUAUCUCUUCACCUGACGUAGAUGCUUCAAUAUUAUACACAAGGUCGACCUCCACCCUGGUUGGUAGACGUCGUAGCAGCCUGCGACGUUUUCCUUGGUGGCCGUGUACUGGCUGAGCGGACUCUCUGAGGGUUUCCAGUCCAAUAUGCUCGCGCACGGGUUCUACCACGUUGGGUCGAUUUACCAGCUACUUUAGAACUAGCGUUACUCGCGGACUGUGUUGGCUGUGAGCUGCUAUUCGUGCCGGCGACUUGUUGAGGCUGUGAUAGUUGUGAGGCAUUACCCUGGGAGCGGGUACUACCAGCUUGUUUCCAGUCGAAGAAGACCGGCGAUAGUUCCUCGUGGAGCCGUAUUCGCUGACGAUUUCGGUGCGACGGGCUGGUCUGUAGACGCGUGCGUGUACACCGGUCUACUUAGCAAUCGGCUCCACCCCGGAAAUUCACCUCUAACCACUUCACCAUUGACUACUACCGCCGCCGGAUACUUUAGCUGAACUCUAACUGAACGAUUCUCCGCUCGCAGCCUCUUAAACGUGGGCCACACACGUUUUCUUGCCUGUCUGACUUCGUCUGGAUAAUCCCGGUCGAUUGCAUAGCGACUACCAGCAAGAUAUUUUGUAUUUUUCAUCACAGUGUCAACCUCAUAGCCAUAUCUAAACGUGACUACGAUCGGACGUCUUAGUGGGCCAUUGGAGUUACGCCGAUUAAUAUUACCCAAACGUUCGGUAUUAUCAAUGUAAAAGUCAUUAGCAUUCAGAUUCAUGUUUGUGUACAUGAAAUCAUUGAUCACCUCAUAAUUGUCUUUGCAUGGAACUUCAUCAAGACCAUAGAUGAGAAGAUUUCUCUUACGCUCACGUGUUUCUAAAUCAAUGACUUUGUAGGUUAAUGACAACAUUUUAUCAUCUUGGUCAUCUAGUCUUUUAUUACAAUCACUGGCUGAUUUUGUCAAAUCAUUUAUACUGUUUUGGUUUUGUUCAACAACAUCAAGUUUUGAGAAUAAAGCAAUAAGUUUA